GUAGGUGGCAAGCGUUGUCCGGAAUUAUUGGGCGUAAAGCGCGCGCAGGUGGUUCUUUAAGUCUGAUGCGAAAGCCCCCGGGCUCAACCGGGGAGGGUCAUUGGAAACUGGGGAACUUGAGUGCAGGAGAGGAAAGUGGAAUUCCACGUGUAGCGGUGAAAUGCGUAGAUAUGUGGAGGAACACCAGUGGCGAAGGCGACUUUCUGGCCUGUAACUGACACUGAGGCGCGAAAGCGUGGGGAGCAAACAGGAUUAGAUACCCUGGUAGUCCACGCCGUAAACGAUGAGUGCUAAGUGUUGGGGGGUUUCCGCCCCUCAGUGCUGCAGCUAACGCAUUAAGCACUCCGCCUGGGGAGUACGGCCGCAAAGACUG
RNAcentral lists this ribosomal RNA (373 nucleotides) under uncultured organism. Its description in RNAcentral is "partial 16S ribosomal RNA". It matches the Rfam family "Bacterial small subunit ribosomal RNA", at positions 527 to 896 of the family's 1533-position model. The record is from RNAcentral.